This is a long non-coding RNA of Cucurbita moschata (crookneck pumpkin), 439 nucleotides long. RefSeq lists it as uncharacterized. The transcript has 2 exons. The record is from RefSeq and is a predicted model, not a curated record. NCBI's taxonomy places the organism in Eukaryota, Viridiplantae, Streptophyta, Magnoliopsida, Cucurbitales, Cucurbitaceae.
UCGAUUAAUGUAAAAAUGAAAGAAAAAAAGAACCAAAGAAUUCAAUUAAAAAACCAGCUUUAAUAUCAUUUUGUCUAAAUUGUAAAAAUUGCAUAUAAAAUAUAAGUUUUACGCCUACCUUUUCUGUCAAACCCUCGAACGAACGAGUUAUACCAUGAUCCCUUGGCAAGAAAAAUUAGUGAAAUUAUAUGCGUAGAUACGAACUUCUUAUACCUUUGUAUGACUUUUACAAAUGGCAAAGAAAAAUAAUUAAUCCGCCCGCUAUUCUCGGAAAGGACGUAAGAUUUAUUUUGCGAGAAUACUGCUGCUGAAUGUGAACAAAAAUAACACGGUACCGAAAGUCACGUCGUCUAAUAUCGGUUCCAGUACGUCCUGCGUCUGAACCAGUUGUAGUCAGGCAAACCCUGGAUCGGACCCAAUGCAGCAAUUGCAAUAUCCU